GCAUGUGUAGUUUAGUGGUAGAACAUGGGCUUCCCAAGCCUAAGAUGCGGGUCCGAUUCCCGUCACGUGCUCCA
RNAcentral lists this transfer RNA (74 nucleotides) under Candidatus Coprosoma intestinipullorum. RNAcentral describes it as "tRNA-Gly". It matches the Rfam family "tRNA". Rfam says of the family: Transfer RNA (tRNA) molecules are approximately 80 nucleotides in length. The record is from RNAcentral. Lineage: Bacteria; Bacillati; Bacillota.